UUCCGUAGGUGAAAUUCUUGNAGGAUCNUUGUCGAGACCGAAUAUAUCGAGCGAUUCAGAGAACCUGUGAACGAGCGAUGACACCCGUCGUCGCGUAACAGCCGUCCCUGUUGUCGGCCUCAUGGGGGCCAUGAUGGGGGUCGGAUAAAACUCAAACCGGCGCAGCUACGCGCCAAGGCAAUACAAAUAGACACGAGCCCGCAUCGGGUUCGAUGGCGUGGAGUGCUUUUGCACACCACACGGAUCAAAAUGACUCUCGGCAAUGGAUAUCUCGGCUCUCGCAUCGAUGAAGAGCGCAGCGAAAUGCGAUACGUGGUGCGAAUUGCAGAAUCCCGCGAACCAUCGAGAAUUUGAACGCAAGUUGCGCCCGAGGCCAGCCGGCCAAGGGCACGUCCGCCUGGGCGUCAAGCGUUGCGUCGCUCCGUGCCAGCUCCAUCCCACCUGACGGGUGUGCAUGGGGACGGUCGGAUGUGCAGAGUGGCUCGUCGUGCCCACGGGUGCGACGGGUUGAAGAGCGGGUGAUCGUCUCGUUGGCCACGAACAACAAGGGGUGGAUGAAAAUUGUGCCUGUGUUGUAUCGAGCCGGCCUGAGAAGAGAUCAUUCCCUGCGGA
Molecule: ribosomal RNA, 612 nt
Filed under: Stelis velaticaulis
Lineage: Eukaryota; Viridiplantae; Streptophyta; Magnoliopsida; Asparagales; Orchidaceae
Description: eukaryotic LSU rRNA
Rfam family: 5.8S ribosomal RNA (bases 252-407)
Source: RNAcentral